RNAcentral lists this ribosomal RNA (447 nucleotides) under uncultured bacterium. RNAcentral describes it as "bacterial SSU rRNA". It matches the Rfam family "Bacterial small subunit ribosomal RNA", at positions 329 to 793 of the family's 1533-position model. The record is from RNAcentral.
AUCCAGACUCCUACGGGAGGCAGCAGUGGGGGAUAUUGCACAAUGGGGGAAACCCUGAUGCAGCGACGCCGCGUGGGUGAAGAAGCGCCUCGGCGCGUAAAGCCCUGUCAGCAGGGAAGAAAAUGACGGUACCUGAAGAAGAAGCCCCGACUAACUACGUGCCAGCAGCCGCGGUAAUACGUAGGGGGCAAGCGUUAUCCGGAUUUACUGGGUGUAAAGGGGGCGCAGACGGCGAUGCAAGCCAGGAGUGAAAGCCCGGGGCCCAACCCCGGGACUGCUCUUGGAACUGCGUGGCUGGGGUGCAGGAGGGGCAGGCGGAAUUCCUGGUGUAGCGGUGAAAUGCGUAGAUAUCAGGAGGAACACCGGUGGCGAAGGCGGCCUGCUGGACUGCAACUGACGUUGAGGCCCGAAAGCGUGGGGAGCAAACAGGAUUAGAUACCCCAGUAA